This 6214-nucleotide long non-coding RNA is filed under the name Sus scrofa (pig). RNAcentral describes it as "lncRNA (ENSSSCG00000057152.1)". The record is from RNAcentral. Lineage: Eukaryota; Metazoa; Chordata; Mammalia; Artiodactyla; Suidae.
UUUUUUUUUUUCUUUUUAGGGCCACAUUUGUGGCAUAUGAAAGUUCCCAGGCUAGGGGUCUAAUCAGAGCUGCAGCUCCAGGUCUACACCACAGCCACAGCCACACCAGAUCCGAGCCACAUGGGCGACCUACACCACAGCUUGCAGCAAUGCCGACUCCUUGACCCACUGAGCAGAGGCCAGGGAUCGAACCCACAUUCUCACAGAGACAAUGUCAAGUCUUCAACCUGCUGAGCCACAACAGGAACUCCCAGAAGUUUAAUUUUAUUAAAAAUUUUUUUUAAUUUUUAGAGUUGCACCCGCAGCACAUGGAGGUUCCCAGGGCAGGGAUCAAAUCAAAGGUACAGCUGCUGGCCUACACCGCAGCCACAGCAACGCCACAUCAAAGCGGCAUCUGUGACCUACACUGCAGCUCACAGCAACACCAGAUCCUUAACACACUGUGUGGGGCCAGGAACUAAACCCAUGUCCUCAUGGGUACUAGCUGGGUUCAUUACUGCUGAGCCACAACGAGAACUCCACAACUCUCAUUUUUCACGACAUAUACGUGGGCAAGAUACGACUGACUUUGAAAACAAAAUUAUUUUUGCCAGGAUGUAAUACCAAAAGGACCAGUCAGUCAUUCCUCUUUGUAGAGAAAUGAAAAUAGCCUUUCCCCUGCUAUUUAUUAAGAAAUAAAUCGACCAGACAUUUGGAAUCUGCUCUGCUAGAUAUAGUUGUUGAGAGUUCAUGGGUUUUAAAGAAAACGUUUCCUAUUCGGAGACUGAUCCAGGGUGUUAAAAUCAGCCGCCUGCCCUCCGGAUUGCUGAGACCAAUCGAGUGCCUCUGUGCACAGCCAGCACACUGAGCAGGCCUUGCACACUCUGCAAGGGACAUGGCCUCGGGAAGUAACAGUGCCCACAGCUUAACAUCUGAGAGGUCAGUUUUUUCCAACAUAUCGAGGUCUGAAGGCUCACAAACGGCUCAGAAUACACACCUGCGGCCUUUAACCCUCUCGUUCCCCUUACAAGGCAAACUGGGGUCUGAGCCAGGAGCCCUCACUUGAAGGUCUUUAAUACCCUGCAGAGGUGUAGUUAACUACAGCUAUGAAAGCCCAGGCUCCCACCGAUCCCAAUUCUCAGUGCUAAAGCCUCGGGGCCUCAGGGCUCCCGCCAAGGCUGAACGUGUCCUCCCUGGGGACAGCCGUUCGCUGCCUGUGCAACACUUUCUAAGGCAGGGCUGGCCAAGCAUGUCCUCAGAGGACCCCUUCCUCAUUCUGAUGGGGCAAGCUCUGAAUGCAUUAAAUGCUAUACAAUGUAGCACAACAGACCUCUCACCCCACCCCCACGAGUUUGUGUUUUCAACCACAGACAGUUCCAAGCAAAAAUACAAAGGAAAAAUAUAUAAGAGUGGCAAAGACAACUGAAUUAAGAUGCAUUGAUAUUAUGUGCAAAAUUGGGGGGCGGGGGUAGAGGGACUCUUAGGAACAAGUAUUUUGAUGGGGAAGGGUCAGAACUGCUGAUUCCUGACUCUAGAUCCUUAGCUACAUGGCAGAGGGCAGAGCACCUGUGACCUUGGAUGCUGCCACAGAAUAAUGAACUAUGUAUUUGUGCCAAGUGCCUACUCUGUGUACCAUCCGCUGUCUGCUGUAGAUACAAAGCAACAGGAUAAAUAGGUCUGUGGCCUCCAGGUCUUGGAGAGACCUGCCAAUGCUAGAUACUUAGGUCCCCCACUGUCCCCAGUUUCCAGGGCACCAGAUGGGAUUCCUGUGCAGGCAGAAGGCAGGCAUUCCUGCAGGUGGAAGUGACAGAGGCAGGACAAGGGGGUAGAGACAAACUUCCCUGCGGUUACCUUUCUUUUGAAAGGCGCUCUGUGAAAAGAGCAGCCACCCAGCCAGCAGCUGUGACGUGGAGGGGUUCUGGGCUAGCAGCGAAGGGCUCCCCCUCUGACCACUGCCCAAACCUCUCCUCAGGUGGGGAGAAGACAGUCGCUGUAAUUAACAGGACUGUGAUCUAAGCAGGAUCUAUCUGAUAACACAACUUAUUACUAUCACAACAGCUCAUGUGAUCACACGACAUGGGCACUGUCUUAACCACUGAGUUCAGAAAAGUAAUUGCCCGAUUCUCCUGGUUAAUUAUUCAUCUUCUUUUUUUAAAAAAUUUUUUUAUUAUUAUUCAUCUUAAGUGACGGAGGACAUCCAGAGCAGAGUCAGGGCUACUCGGACUCUGGGAGGUCAGUGACCUUCUGACUGCAGACAGAAUGUUGAAAACAUUGCAAACUAAUCCAAACCCAUUUUUUAGAGACUUCAGGAAAAAAGUUUAGACUUUGCUGUACCCCAAGUCCUCAAUUUAUAAGAACCCUUCUAGUACCUUGUCUAGUGGUCCGCAAACUUCAGUGUGCAUCUGAAUUACGUGUGGGGGUGGGGGUGGGGCAGUUAGUUCAAAGACAGGUUGCUGGGCCCCAUCCCAUAGUUUCUGAAUUGGCAGGUCCUGAGUGGGGCCUGAGAAUGUGCAAUUCUCACAAGCUCCCAGGUGCUAUUGAUGCUGAGGUUAGUGGAUCACACUGUGGGGACUGCGGUUCUGACUCAACCCUAACUGGACCAAACACUCACAUCCUCGAGAGAACCGAAUCCUAGCCGGCCACUGUUCCCUGGUACCGAAGCACACAGAUGCUUGAAUAACAAUUCACAAGUCCCCUGGUCAUUUUUUCCCCUACGGGCUAAAGAAGAGAAGCUCCCUAACAUCUUAGCACAGGCAUCAUUUUUCAACCCUUUAGUCAUUUCUGAGCUUCUCUGUUGCAGUCUCUCCAAGGUUCUCUCAGUUGUGGAUCCGUGGAAUGAGACCCAGAACCUUAGUCAGCGAUGGGAUGAGCUUGAGUAUAAAGGGAAAAUGACUCACAGAUUCAUACCCGUCCUCCUAUUUAUUAAUCUCCAAUACCCGAGCUCACCUUUUUUACUGCCUCUGAUUCACAGCCUUCUGACUCCUCUGAGAGCUGCAAUAACGCUGAGUUGGCCUUCGAAACACCUUUCUUCUGAGCAGUUCAAGGCACUUCCCUAAUUUAACAGUUGACUCAACCUCCCAAACCAGAAUGGGGCUAAGUAACUAGUUCGGGAAUAUUUCAGUUUCAAAGGGAGAGAAAAUCUGGAACCCCAAUUCGUACUUCCACCCCAAGAGCACUCUAUGGAGAAAAGACACUGCCUGCCUUUUAGACGCAUCAUGUCUCUUGCUCUACAGAACAGCAACAGUCCAGGUGCAGGCGGAAACUCCUGAGCCUCCUCCCAGUGCCGGGGAUCAUCACAGGGAACUGGGGCUGUGGGUCAGGCCCGGGAGGCCGUCCUCGCCCCCACCUCCACCCCUUCCCAGGAACAGGGAAGGCAGUGCCCGGUGGCUCUGCCCCUGGCAAAAGGCCAGAUGAACUGAAAGGUGGCCUGAGGGCGACCCCGGACCUUCCCUGCUCACCCUGUUCUCCUCUCCUUCCUUCCAUUCUUGGCUCUGCCAGCUCACUCGAUGUGUAAGUCAGCUCUGGGGCCCGCCUACUUCGAGCACGAGGGUUCUUGGCGAGUAGGCACCAUCGCUUCCUUUGUGCAUUGUUUGGCUCUGGGGGCGCUUACUACAGCUGAACAGUAACAGUGCCCCAGCAUUUCCAGGAGCCCUCAGAUUCCCUGCCCGGGGGCUGGGUCCUACGACCACACCCUGUGCCCUAGAUGGCAGAGCCCAAGCCCACCCCCCGCCCCCGCUGCUCCAGAUAGAACGUGGAAACUCAGCAUUGAGCCUGAGCCCUGCAACAUUUCCUUCUGGGAGAGAACAUUCCAGAGCUGUGGUCCCUGAGCAGCUCCAAACCAAAAGGGAAGCUGGGGAGUUCCCGUCGUAGCUCAGUGGUAACAAACCCGACUAGAAUCCAUGAGGAUACGGGUUCGAUCCUUGGCCUCACUCAAUGUGCUAAGGAUCCGGCGUUGCCAUGAGCUGCGGUGUAGAUCACAGAUGUGGCCUGAAUCUGGCAUUGCUGUGGCUGUGGUACAGGCUGGCAGCUAUAGAUCCGAUUCGACCCCUAGCCUGGGAACUUGCAUAUCCUGCAGGUGCGGCCCUGAAAGAAAAGAAAAAAAAAAAAAAAAAAACUAAUUGCAAGCUGGUGAUAACAGAAGUUCCCAUCCAGCCACAGUGCCCCAUGGACAGCCGCACGUGGACGCGGGGCAUCCAGAGGAAGGGUCCUCUCCGUCUCCCUGAGCCCCCUUGAGGCUUACAGCAGAUGGCCCUUCUCUAGGAAUCCAGAGCAGUCAGGAGUUCCUCUGUCAGGGCCUCUGGGGCUAGAACUAUUUUGAGAGGGGGAGGAUGAGGACGGGAGGGCGGGCUGCCAGGAGAGCAGGGCACACACGACUGGAGGCAUCAAGUCAAGAGCAGUGUGCCCAGCACACAGCUGAAGCCACAGGCUCCGGCCACAGCCCAGAGCUACCCAGGUUUCUCGGCAUCUGGAUUCCCGUGGGAGGCUGAGGUGAUCCACAAAGCCUCUUCUCAGGAGGGGACUGUGACCGUAGCAGGGAGGAGCAUCAUCACGGGCAAACAGGAGAGAGUCCCACCCCGACCCUGACAUCAUGGAAACGUGCUCCUCUGCCUCUAUCACUGUUUCACAGCGCGCGUAAAUCACCAAGGCAACAGGCUGCAAGUGGUGAUGAGCAUUUCAGCAACUCCUCCUAAAAGAACACAGGCUUCCUCAUGGUGCAAACACCUCUGGAAACUCCUUUUGUUAAAUUAAAAACUAGAUGGCUCUUAAACAGCUUUUCUUUUCCACAGGACUAAACUACAACGGAGCAGAUGAAUAACAGCUUGAAAAUGAGCUCAUGUCCAACUACAGCACACCUCUAAAGCCUGGCAUUCUGAUGGUGCCUUGGUAACAGUUAACAGAAGAACAGUUAGUUCCUUUGGAUAAAAGUAUAUACUCUGAAGGACACGCUCAUCGGCCCUUGAACGGCUGAAGAUGACAUUACAGACUUUGCCGUUAUAAUUGCCAGGGAUCUGGGCGGCACACUUCUCUUCGGCUCAAUAAAAAGGCUUAAGGUUUUUUUUUUUUUUUUUUUUUUUUUAAGUUUCUUUCUAAAAAUAGCCCAAGAACUCAGUUCUCUUUUUCCUUCUUACAUUCUUGUCCUACUAACUGUGCCACUGAAACAUUUCCUUUCAUUGUUGGCACCUUGGGUCGUUGGGAUUUAAAAAUCAGACAAUACAUAACAACAAAGAAGUCUUUAAAUGCAGCUUUCCAAAUGGAAAAUGGCAUCUAAGGGCAUGCCUUCCUCUAGGCCCACAGAUACUGGAGCCCUGAGGUCUGGGGAACAGCAAAGACACCACCCAUUAGAGUCGGUGCCUUAAAAUCCACAUUCCCAGAGGGGAGAUAAUUUACCCGUUAAUGGAUUAAGAAAUUCCUGUCGGUUCCCUGUCAUAAGCAAGCUGUUUGGCAUGAAGUCAGAGUCCUUGGAAUUAAAACACUUCAAACUUUAGCAAAGGUGAUUAAGACUCAACUCAAAAUAUUUAUUCUAGGUUAAAAUCUUUAGGUUUCUUCAGUCCAAAUUUAAAUUGGCAGCAACGUGUUAAAUCAAGAGCAGAGUCAGGAUUAGGGAAUUCCAUGACCUUUGAUUAAUUGCGAUUACUAAAUCCAUCUUCCAGAGGAUGCGUUCAAUUACUAGCCAAAGGCAUCCUCCUAAAUUUACCUUUAUUUUUUUAAGAGCUUCUCUUUAGGAGUAGGAGGGUCUGUUUUUAAGGACAACAAUCCUCCUUAAAAAGAAAAAACUCGCCAUCUGCAUAUUUUACAAAAUCACAUUUGACACUCUCAUUAUUUCUGCACAUAAACUUGUAGCUCACGGUAAGUACAAUUCCACAGGAAUUUUUAACAUGUUUUUUCCUCUAAGAGUUAGGUUACCAUUGAAAAUAAAGCUCAUUAACACACCACUCUAUUAACCAAAGAUUUUAACUGGUAAAAUAUAUAAUAAUCCACAGGUUGCUUUUGCAAAGAUAAAAAUAGUAAGAAUCAAAUACUUUCUCCUAGGCAAACUGAGUAAGGCAGGUUUCUUGCAGCAGAAUACGUUUCAGGAAAAAAACCUUUCGGCUCCAUUCUUAGAACACCCUCAAGUACCCAUCCCAGAGUUUCCAGUUUCCCCGAGAGAGAGAAAAAAAAAUUACUACAUUCACUCAGUACUUACAAAGUACUUUCAAAGGAAAUCGGAGCUGCAAUUCUUCAGAAGACUGCUCCU